Molecule: ribosomal RNA, 410 nt
Filed under: Despaxia augusta
Lineage: Eukaryota; Metazoa; Arthropoda; Insecta; Plecoptera; Leuctridae
Description: partial 12S ribosomal RNA
Source: RNAcentral
UAAACUACGAUUAGAUACCCUAUUAUUUUAAAUGUAAAUAUAUUUAUUAAAGCUUGAGUAGUAUGAGUUAUGUUCUUUAAACUUAAAGAAUUUGGCGGUGUUUUAGUCUUUUCAGAGGAACCUGUCCCAUAAUCGAUAAUCCACGUAGUAUCUUACUUAAUUUUGUUUUCAACUUGUAUACCGCCGUCGUCAGAAUGUCUUUGGAGAGGUUUAAUUUUCUAACAUUUUUAUUAUAAAUGAUGUCAGGUCAAGGUGCAGUUUAUGGUUAAGUGGAGAUGGGUUACAAUAAAUUUAUUUAAAUGGAUUUUUAAGUUGAAAUAUUUAUAUGAAGGUGGAUUUGAUUGUAAUUUGAUUUAUAAAGUUGAAUUGAUUUUAGCUCUAAAACAUGCACACAUCGCCCGUCGCUCUUA